CAGAAGGUAGUUUAAUUAGAAUUUCGGCCUUGGGAGCCGGCGGCGGGAGCAGAUGCUCUCUUUUCUGA
Molecule: transfer RNA, 68 nt
Filed under: Lepidosiren paradoxa (South American lungfish)
Lineage: Eukaryota; Metazoa; Chordata; Ceratodontiformes; Lepidosirenidae
Description: tRNA-Pro
Source: RNAcentral